RNAcentral lists this ribosomal RNA (497 nucleotides) under uncultured bacterium. RNAcentral's name for it is "partial 16S ribosomal RNA". It matches the Rfam family "Bacterial small subunit ribosomal RNA", at positions 28 to 507 of the family's 1533-position model. The record is from RNAcentral.
GAUGAACGCUGGCGGCGUGCCUAAUACAUGCAAGUCGAGCGGACAGACGAGGAGCUUGCUCCUCUGUCGUUUGCCGCGCACGGGUGAGUCACACGUGGAUCACCUACCUAUAAUACUGGGAUAACUUCGGGAAACCGGAGCUAACACCGGAUAAUAUAUUGAACCGCAUGGUUCAUUGGAGAAAGACGGUUGUGCUGUCACGUCUAGCUGGAUCCCCGCCGCAUUAGCUAGUUGGUAAGGUAACGGCCUACCAAGGCUACGAUGCGUAGCCGACCUGAGAGGGGGGUCGGCGACCUGGGAAGGGAAACGGGGACCAGGGUACUGCGGGAGGCAGCAGUAGGGAAUGUGCCGCAGUGGGCGGGAGCCUUACGCAGCAGGGCGGCGUGAGAGAUGAAGGCGUUCGGAUCGUGAAGCUGUGUUUCGAGGGAAGAACCAAUGUGGAAGGAACUGUGCAGGUCGUGACGGUACCGGGUCAGAAAGCACCGGCUAACUACGUG